UGUAGGCGGAGAUGCAAGUUGGGAGUGAAAUCCCGGGGCUCAACCCCGGAACUGCUUUCAAAACUGCAUCCCUUGAGUAUCGGAGAGGCAAGCGGAAUUCCUAGUGUAGCGGUGAAAUGCGUAGAUAUUAGGAGGAACACCAGUGGCGAAGGCGGCUUGCUGGACGACAACUGACGCUGAGGCGCGAAAGCGUGGGGAGCAAACA
RNAcentral lists this ribosomal RNA (205 nucleotides) under uncultured bacterium. RNAcentral describes it as "partial 16S ribosomal RNA". It matches the Rfam family "Bacterial small subunit ribosomal RNA", at positions 570 to 774 of the family's 1533-position model. The record is from RNAcentral.